Molecule: non-coding RNA, 334 nt
Filed under: Vibrio cholerae
Lineage: Bacteria; Pseudomonadati; Pseudomonadota; Gammaproteobacteria; Vibrionales; Vibrionaceae
Source: RNAcentral
GAAGUGGUGAGGAUAACCACAAGCAGGAAGCCGGACACGCAUAAGGAAUGCGUCAGCGCACAGUGAGGUGAGCUGCAAGGAUGAUUCAGGAUACUCUAGGGAUGUGAGAGGAACCCCAUCAGGACGAUGGCAAGGACACCGCUCAAGGAACAAGUGAUGAAGGCUGAAUAGGAUUAUUCGGCAUCAGGACGAAUAGGACACCGCUAGGAUGGCGAUGCUCGGAGUUCGCUGAAAGGAUCAGCCCGUUAAGGAUGAUGCAUGGAGCACAUUCAAGUAGCCGGAUGCUGCGACUAAGAUUAAGCCCCGACACCUGUGUCGGGGCUUUCCUUAAUCU